Molecule: ribosomal RNA, 513 nt
Filed under: uncultured bacterium
Lineage: Bacteria
Description: partial 16S ribosomal RNA
Rfam family: Bacterial small subunit ribosomal RNA
Source: RNAcentral
GAUGAACGCUGGCGGCGUGCCUAAUACAUGCAAGUCGAACGCGCAGCGAAAGGUGCUUGCACCUUUCAAGCGAGUGGCGAACGGGUGAGUAACACGUGGAUAACCUGCCUCAAGGCUGGGGAUAACAUUUGGAAACAGAUGCUAAUACCGAAUAAAACUUAGUAUCGCAUGAUACAAAGUUAAAAGGCGCUACGGCGUCACCUAGAGAUGGAUCCGCGGUGCAUUAGUUAGUUGGUGGGGUAAAGGCUUACCAAGACGAUGAUGCAUAGCCGAGUUGAGGGACUGAUCGGCCACAUUGGGACUGAGACACGGGCCAAACUCCUACGGGAGGCUGCAGUAGGGAAUCUGCCACAAUGGGCGCAAGCCUGAUGGAGCAACGCCGCGUGUGUGAUGAAGGCUUUCGGGUCGUAAAGCACUGUUGUAUGGGAAGAAAUGCUAAAAUAGGGAAUGAUUUUAGUUUGACGGUACCAUACCAGAAAGGGACGGCUAAAUACGUGCCAGCCGCCGCCGUAA